AGAACGAACGCUGGCGGCAUGCCUAACACAUGCAAGUCGAACGCUCCCUUCGGAGGGAGUGGCGCACGGGUGAGUAACGCGUGGGAACCUGCCUUGGAGUGGGGGAUAACCGAUGGAAACGUCGGCUAAUACCGCAUACGUCCUGAGGGAGAAAGAUUUAUCGCUCUGAGAGGGGCCCGCGUCGGAUUAGCUAGUUGGUGGGGUAACGGCCUACCAAGGCGAUGAUCCGUAGCUGGUCUGAGAGGAUGAUCAGCCACACUGGGACUGAGACACGGCCCAGACUCCUACGGGAGGCAGCAGUGGGGAAUAUUGGACAAUGGGCGCAAGCCUGAUCCAGCAAUGCCGCGUGAGUGAUGACGGCCUUAGGGUUGUAAAGCUCUUUCGGCGGGGACGAUGAUGACGGUACCCGCAGAAGAAGCCCCGGCUAACUUCGCGCCAGCAGCCGC
This 446-nucleotide ribosomal RNA is filed under the name uncultured bacterium. RNAcentral's name for it is "SSU rRNA". It matches the Rfam family "Bacterial small subunit ribosomal RNA", at positions 26 to 518 of the family's 1533-position model. The record is from RNAcentral.